RNAcentral lists this ribosomal RNA (497 nucleotides) under uncultured bacterium. RNAcentral's name for it is "partial 16S ribosomal RNA". It matches the Rfam family "Bacterial small subunit ribosomal RNA", at positions 28 to 507 of the family's 1533-position model. The record is from RNAcentral.
GAUGAACGCUGGCGGCGUGCCUAAUACAUGCAAGUCGAGCGAACAGACGAGGAGCUUGCUCCUUUGACGUUAGCGGCGGACGGGGGAGUAACACGUAGGUAACCUACCUAUAAGACUGGGAUAACUUCGGGAAACCGGAGCUAAUACCGGAUAAUAUUUCGAACCGCAUGGUUCGAUAGUGAAAGAUGGCUUUGCUAUCACUUAUAGAUGGACCUGCGCCGUAUUAGCUAGUUGGUAAGGUAACGGCUUACCAAGGCAACGAUACGUAGCCGACCUGAGAGGGUGAUCGGCCACACUGGAACUGAGACACGGUCCAGACUCCUACGGGAGGCAGCAGUAGGGAAUCUUCCGCAAUGGGCGAAAGCCUGACGGAGCAACGCCGCGUGAGUGAUGAAGGUCUUCGGAUCGUAAAACUCUGUUAUUAGGGAAGAACAAACGUGUAAGUAACUGUGCACGUCUUGACGGUACCUAAUCAGAAAGCCACGGCUAACUACGUG